This 253-nucleotide ribosomal RNA is filed under the name uncultured bacterium. Its description in RNAcentral is "partial 16S ribosomal RNA". It matches the Rfam family "Bacterial small subunit ribosomal RNA", at positions 524 to 776 of the family's 1533-position model. The record is from RNAcentral.
UACGUAGGGUGCAAGCGUUGUCCGGAAUUAUUGGGCGUAAAGAGCUCGUAGGCGGCUUGUCGCGUCGGCUGUGAAAACCUGGGGCUCAACCCCGGGCCUGCAGCCGAUACGGGCAAGCUAGAAUUCGGUAGGGGAGACUGGAAUUCCUGGUGUAGCGGUGAAAUGCGUAGAUAUCUGGAGGAACACCGGUGGCGAAGGCGGCAUCCUGGACCAAUAUUGACGCUGAGGAGCGAAAGCCAGGGGAGCAAACGGG